GAUGAACGCUGGCGGCGUGCUUAACACAUGCAAGUCGAACGAAGCACUUUAUUUGAUUUCCUUCGGGACUGAUUAUUUUGUGACUGAGUGGCGGACGGGUGAGUAACGCGUGGGUAACCUGCCUUGUACAGGGGGAUAACAGUUGGAAACGGCUGCUAAUACCGCAUAAGCGCACGGCAUCGCAUGAUGCAGUGUGAAAAACUCCGGUGGUAUAAGAUGGACCCGCGUUGGAUUAGCUAGUUGGUGAGGUAACGGCCCACCAAGGCGACGAUCCAUAGCCGACCUGAGAGGGUGACCGGCCACAUUGGGACUGAGACACGGCCCAAACUCCUACGGGAGGCAGCAGUGGGGAAUAUUGCACAAUGGCGAAAGCCUGAUGCAGCGACGCCGCGUGAGCGAAGAAGUAUUUCGGUAUGUAAAGCUCUAUCAGCAGGGAAGAUAAUGACGGUACCUGACUAAGAAGCACCGGCUAAAUACGUG
RNAcentral lists this ribosomal RNA (480 nucleotides) under uncultured bacterium. RNAcentral describes it as "partial 16S ribosomal RNA". It matches the Rfam family "Bacterial small subunit ribosomal RNA", at positions 28 to 507 of the family's 1533-position model. The record is from RNAcentral.